AAUGGACGCAAGUCUGACCCAGCCAUGCCGCGUGCAGGAUGAAGGCCCUAUGGGUUGUAAACUGCUUUUGUACGGGAAGAAAUCCCCUGACGUGUCAGGGGUUGACGGUACCGUGCGAAUAAGCACCGGCUAACUCCGUGCCAGCAGCCGCGGUAAUACGGAGGGUGCAAGCGUUAUCCGGAUUCAUUGGGUUUAAAGGGUGCGCAGGCGGAAUGAUAAGUCAGUGGUGAAAUCCUACGGCUCAACUGUAGAACUGCCAUUGAUACUGUCAUUCUUGAGUAUAGUUGAAGUGGGUGGAAUGUAUCAUGUAGCGGUGAAAUGCAUAGAUAUGAUACAGAACUCCGAUAGCGAAGGCAACUCACUAAACUAAAACUGACGCUCAUGCACGAAAGCGUGGGGAGCAAA
This 405-nucleotide ribosomal RNA is filed under the name uncultured bacterium. RNAcentral's name for it is "bacterial SSU rRNA". It matches the Rfam family "Bacterial small subunit ribosomal RNA", at positions 370 to 772 of the family's 1533-position model. The record is from RNAcentral.